RNAcentral lists this ribosomal RNA (447 nucleotides) under Triticum aestivum (bread wheat). RNAcentral's name for it is "partial small subunit ribosomal RNA". The record is from RNAcentral. Lineage: Eukaryota; Viridiplantae; Streptophyta; Magnoliopsida; Poales; Poaceae.
AUGGUGAAAAUUAAGUCGUUUAUACUCUACACUCCGGGCUGUAGCUUGAAAAGUGAACCCGCCUAUCUAUGGCUCUGGUUCCUUCUGUCUGUGGACCUUCUGGCCUUCAGGGAAGACAUCAUCCCUAGCCCUGGUGGUGGCCUUGGAGCUUUGGUUCAUGGGGCCACCCCUCCUGUUCAGGCCCACUGCACUGAUGCAUUGGCUUGGGACCCUCCUCGGGCAGUUGCCGCAGCUGAAACGGCAGGGGCUGGCGGUUUUGGGUUGGGCAUCGUGGAAGAUUGGGACCCUGUGUGGCCUCUCAUGCCUGGGAAGUCGGCUGUCCACAGUGAGGCCUCCUUUGGUUUACAGGAAUUUCGUAGGAAUUAUAUAGGAUAUGAUUCCUAUGGGAAAACUCAUAUGGCUCCUAUUCCUAUGAUAUUCCUAUCCUAUGAACCAAAGGAGGCCUGA